UACAGGCAGGACAAGCGUUAUUCAUCAUUAUUAGGUGUAAAAAGUGCGUAGGCAAUAAAAUUUUUAAAUUUUUUUAAAGGCUAAAAGGGCUGUGCAAAAAUUUUAAGUUUUUAAAGAGUGCAGUGGAGGUGGGUGUAAUUGCUAAAAGAGGGGUGAAAUCCAAGGAAAUUAGUAGGAAAGCUAAAUGCGAAGGCUAUCUUCCACGCUGUUCUGUCGCUGAGGUACGAAGGUCUGGGUAUCAAACGGG
Molecule: ribosomal RNA, 247 nt
Filed under: uncultured bacterium
Lineage: Bacteria
Description: partial 16S ribosomal RNA
Rfam family: Bacterial small subunit ribosomal RNA
Source: RNAcentral